CGAUAAUGAUGCACCAACUGGUAAAGGGGAAUUCGGAUGCUAAUUAGCUUCCCUUUAGGACUUCCUUUGAGAAGUGCUUUUAAGCCGCCAGAGCAGCUGUCUGAUAUAGAAAAUAACAAAGCAGAGGAACUACAUCAGGAGAUCACACGAGAUACCUGUAGGACACGCCAUAAGAAAGAAAAGAGAAAUGGGAAAGAGGGUCACUCGCUCAUUUAAAGAAUCUGAAAGGUACACUUCGGAACCUGAGUCCGCAAUCUGCUGCCAGCCCUCAUUCCCUAGACUGUGUUCACUUGAGAAGCUCCUACUCCUUCAUCUCACAUGGCACCUGCAGCCUUGUGAGGGUUUUGGAAGAGCAAGACUGCUACCGAUGUGCUGAUGUUCCGAUCUCCCACAGUCCACAAAAAACAACCAACAUUUUAAUAGAAGAAGAAUUUAUCUUUAGUGCUGUGCAGUUUGGCUCAUUGCUUUCCACUGUAAGUGUGAAUGUGCUUUGAUCUCAACCAAUUACAGUAUUUAGUUCCAAUUUCUCAAAACAAUGAUUUCUGUACUGGCUUCCUAAGGACAGGAGGAACUUGCAAAUUGUAUUUUAAACAUUUGUUUCUGGACAGAUCCUAAGCCUUAGGUGAGGGCUUUUUGAGUUUAAAAAAAUAGAUUAUCCAUUGCUGAUGUUUCACAAACAUGCAUUUCUGGGUGAGCUGGGGAGGAGGGGGUUUACAAAAAAUUAUAAGAUCAAGCAGUCCUUGAUAUAAUUGCAUCCACCCGUGUGUUUCCGGAAAAUCAGCACCGUAUCUGGUACUGUUUUAAAACUCCAGAGUGUCAGACUCCAGCAGUGAAGCACUAGUCUAUCACCGUGUUACUGUGGAUUGACAUUGUGAAACCAAUUUCAAUUAGCACUCAAACAACAUCUUUAUUCACAGGGCCCAUUCAUGCAGCACGUGUGUGUCAAAUUAAACACUGUGAAUGAUUCA
This is a long non-coding RNA of Lepisosteus oculatus (spotted gar), 968 nucleotides long. RefSeq lists it as uncharacterized. The record is from RefSeq and is a predicted model, not a curated record. Lineage: Eukaryota; Metazoa; Chordata; Actinopteri; Semionotiformes; Lepisosteidae.